This 497-nucleotide ribosomal RNA is filed under the name uncultured bacterium. RNAcentral's name for it is "partial 16S ribosomal RNA". It matches the Rfam family "Bacterial small subunit ribosomal RNA", at positions 28 to 507 of the family's 1533-position model. The record is from RNAcentral.
GAUGAACGCUGGCGGCGUGCCUAAUACAUGCAAGUCGAGCGAACAGACGAGGAGCUUGCUCCUCUGACGUUAGCGGCGGACGGGUGAGUAACACGUGGAUAACCUACCUAUAAGACUGGGAUAACUUCGGGAAACCGGAGCUAAUACCGGAUAAUAUAUUGAGCCGCAUGGUUCAAUAGUGAAAGACGGUUUUGCUGUCACUUAUAGAUGGAUCCGCGCCGCAUUAGCUAGUUGGUAAGGUAACGGCUUACCAAGGCAACGAUGCGUAGCCGACCUGAGAGGGUGAUCGGCCACACUGGAACUGAGACACGGUCCAGACUCCUACGGGAGGCAGCAGCAGGGAAUCUUCCGCAAUGGGCGAAAGCCUGACGGAGCAACGCCGCGUGAGUGAUGAAGGUCUUCGGAUCGUAAAACUCUGUUAUUAGGGAAGAACAAAUGUGUAAGUAACUAUGCACGUCUUGACGGUACCUAAUCAGAAAGCCACGGCUAACUACGUG